AGCAGCCGCGGUAAUUCCAGCUCCAAUAGCGUAUAUUAAAGUUGUUGCAGUUAAAAAGCUCGUAGUUGAAUUUCGGGAUUGACGUGACGGUCGUGCCUUACGGGGCAUGAACUGUCGCCGUUGAUUUCUCACCUUCUGGAGAAGCUCGAUGUCCUUAAUUGGGUGUCUUGCGGAACCAGGACCUUUACCUUGAAAAAAUUAGAGUGUUUAAAGCAGGCAUUAUUGCUCGAAUACAUUAGCAUGGAAUAAUAGAAUAGGACGGCAUGGUUCUAUUUUGUUGGUUUCUAGGAUCACCGUAAUGAUUAAUAGGGAUAGUUGGGGGCAUUAGUAUUCAAUUGUCAGAGGUGAAAUUCUUGGAUUUAUUGAAGACUAACUACUGCGAAAGCAUUUGCCAAGGAUGUUUUCAUUAAUCAAGAACGAAAGUUAGGGGAAUCGAAGACGAUCAGAUACCGUCGUAGUCUUAACCAUAAACUAUGCCGACUAGGAAUCAGACGAUGUAAUUUUUAAUGUACUCGUUUGG
Molecule: ribosomal RNA, 520 nt
Filed under: uncultured Entrophospora
Lineage: Eukaryota; Fungi; Glomeromycota; Glomeromycetes; Entrophosporales; Entrophosporaceae
Description: SSU rRNA
Rfam family: Eukaryotic small subunit ribosomal RNA
Source: RNAcentral